RNAcentral lists this ribosomal RNA (304 nucleotides) under uncultured bacterium. RNAcentral describes it as "partial 16S ribosomal RNA". It matches the Rfam family "Bacterial small subunit ribosomal RNA", at positions 506 to 807 of the family's 1533-position model. The record is from RNAcentral.
CAGCAGCAGCCACGGGAAUACGAAGGGGGCUAGCGUUGUUCGGAUUAACUGGGCGUAAAGGGUGCGUAGGCGGGUCUUUAAGUCAGAGGUGAAAUCCCAAGGCUCAACCUUGGAACUGCCUUUGAUACUGGGGAUCUUGAGUCCGGGAGAGGUGAGUGGAACUGCGAGUGUAGAGGUGAAAUUCGUAGAUAUUCGCAAGAACACCAGUGGCGAAGGCGGCUCACUGGGACAACACUGACGCUGAGGCACGAAAGCGUGGGGAGCAAACAGGAUUAGAUACCCGCGUAGUCCCUGUCUCUUAUAC